UACGUAGGUGGCGAGCGUUGUCCGGAUUUACUGGGCGUAAAGAGCGCGCAGGCGGUCGUACAAGUCGCGUGUGAAAGCCCCCGGCUCAACUGGGGAGGGUCACGCGAUACUGUUCGACUCGAAGGCAGGAGAGGGUAGUGGAAUUCCCGGUGUAGUGGUGGAAAAUGCGUAGAUAUCGGGAGGAACACCAGUGGCGAAGGCGACUACCUGGCCUGUUCUUGACGCUGAGGCGCGAAAGCUAGGGUAGCAAACGGG
Molecule: ribosomal RNA, 255 nt
Filed under: uncultured bacterium
Lineage: Bacteria
Description: partial 16S ribosomal RNA
Rfam family: Bacterial small subunit ribosomal RNA
Source: RNAcentral